Long non-coding RNA from Petromyzon marinus (sea lamprey), 2100 nucleotides. RefSeq lists it as uncharacterized. NCBI's taxonomy places the organism in Eukaryota, Metazoa, Chordata, Hyperoartia, Petromyzontiformes, Petromyzontidae. The record is from RefSeq and is a predicted model, not a curated record.
CGCGGUCGGGUUCCCCUACCCAAGAUGUCUGCCCUCCUCUGAUUGGGUCACCGUGGUGGUGGUGGGGGGGGUUGCUCCCGCUGCUGUGCAGGGGCCAAGUCGCAGUCCCAGUGACGUCUGCAAUGUCUGCCUCAUCACACGCGGCUGUCCGCUCGGCUCUCUCGUGGGUUUCCUACGUCACAUCGGGCGAGGUCACUUUAUUGUGACCACGGAAGACUGCACCAACGUGACAUUAGAAAUUGGCCAUCCAAAGAGGUUUUGUUGGGUUAGAUCGCGUAAGAUAUAAAUGUGUCGUUCAACCCGCCGCCACCCGACACACAGCUAAUCAGCAAGGCGAUGGUCGGAGACGAAGAUCAAGCAACAAAGAAACGACGGCUAAAUCGAGAAAGACAGCAGAGAUGGAUUCAGAGACAAAGCCAAGAAACUCUCGACAGAAUCCGACAAGCUCGUGUCAAGUCACAGCGUGCAGCACGAGAGCGGAAAACGCCUCAAAAAUGCCAUGCACGACUAGCAGCUGACGCCGAAGCCUAUCGCAAAGCCCAAAACCAAGAAUCACUGGAGCAGCGACAAGCACGACGAGAAGCUCAUGCUGAGUCACAGCGUGCAGCACGAGAGCGGAAAACGCCUGAAGAAUACCAUGCACGACUAGCAGCUGACGCCGAAGCCCAUCGCAAAGCCCGAGAACAAGAAUCCCUGGAGCAGCGACAAGCACGACGAGAAGCUAAUGCCAAGUCGCAGCGUGCAGUACGAGAGCGGGAAACGCCUGAAGAAUCGCAAGCACGACGAGCAGCUGACGCCGAAGCCCAUCGCGAAGCCCAACAAGAAGAAUCACUGGAGCAGCGACAAGCACGACGAGAAGCUAAUGCUGAGUCGCAGCGUGCAGCACGAGAGCGGAAACGCCUGAAGAAUCGCAAGCACAAUGAGCAGUUGACGCCGAAGUGCACCGUGUAGCUCAAGACCUUUACAGCCAGAUAAUUUGCGAUUAAGCAAUUCACUUUGUAGAGGAACGAGUUCAUGCUCAGGAUUGCGGCCCGCUGAGUUUCAUCUGCCAAUUCUGUGAUUCAAAGAACUUUAAGGAUGAGCAUCCAUCAGAUGGGAAGUUCACAAGCUGCUGCCGAAAAGGAAAGUCAAGCUGCCGAAGCCACAAGAUGAGAACGGAGUCGAGCUGGAAUAUCCCGAAUUCCUCCGUCAACUCAUAUCAGAUGUCAACUCACCAAGUCGUACACAUUUCCGUGACCACAUCCAAUCUUACAACAAUGCUGUCUGAUUUGCAUCGAUGGGAGCAAAGAUCAUGGAUCUGCCUGGACGUGGACCGUAUGUGUUCAAGGUUCAGGGACAAACUUACCACCGGACAUAACAUCUCCAGGUGCUCAACAAUCAACAGCCGCAGUACACGCAAUUGUACAUCAUCGACAGCACGCAAGCCACAGACACUCUACAAGGACAACAAGCUAAUGAUCAAUGCCAGCGUCAGAUUCUGAAUUAACUGGAUUGUUUCUUCAGACAGCACAACAGAAUCGCGCAAAGCUAUCAGCUGAUGCGUGAGGUCGAAACACAGUAAAUUGCGGAAUCACAAAUCAAAGGUGACCAACUUCCUGUUGUGAACAUGGUGUUUCGACAAGAUCCUCUAUCGGAUCAACAAUGCUACAAUUCUCCAACAUCGAAUGAAGUUGCAAUGGUGUUUGUCAACGAAGAUGGAGAGCCGCCAUUUCAUCGUGACGUUCACAUCUAUCCACAAAAUCUAGAAGAUCCGAAUCAGCCGUUCAUCAACAUCUUGAGUCCCAAUAUGGAUCCGAUGACGUAUGUGCUGCUGUUUCCAUACGGUCAACGCGGAUGGCAGCCAACGUGGCAAUGCGAAGCCUACGAAGGUGCGCAGAUCAAUAGAGUUCGAACCAACGUCAGCAUGCUGCAGUACAGAGCAGCACAAACUGCUCUUCGCCACUGCUUCAACUCAGUCAUGAGUGCUGGAAAAUUGACGCAGCAAUGGCUGGUCGAUUCCUAUCUAGAUUUGAAGCUUUCGUGGCUGCAAGGAUCCAUACUCUUUGGUUCUAUUCGGUAAAGUCACGUAGGCAAAAAAUAAAUAAAUAAAAUCACGACGUU